UACGUAGGGUGCGAGCGUUGUCCGGAAUUAUUGGGCGUAAAGAGCUCGUAGGCGGUGUGUCACGUCGUUCGUGAAAACCUGCAGCUUAACUGUGGGCGUGCGGUCGAUACGGGCAUCACUGGAGUUCGGCAGGGGAGACUGGAAUUCCUGGUGUAGCGGUGAAAUGCGCAGAUAUCAGGAGGAACACCGGUGGCGAAGGCGGGACUCUGGGCCGAUACUGACGCUGAGGAGCGAAAGCGUGGGGAGCAAACAGG
Molecule: ribosomal RNA, 254 nt
Filed under: uncultured bacterium
Lineage: Bacteria
Description: partial 16S ribosomal RNA
Rfam family: Bacterial small subunit ribosomal RNA
Source: RNAcentral